RNAcentral lists this ribosomal RNA (516 nucleotides) under uncultured bacterium. RNAcentral's name for it is "partial 16S ribosomal RNA". It matches the Rfam family "Bacterial small subunit ribosomal RNA", at positions 28 to 523 of the family's 1533-position model. The record is from RNAcentral.
GAUGAACGCUGGCGGCGUGCCUAAUACAUGCAAGUCGAACGCGCGGAUCAGGAGCUUGCUCCUGUGACGCGAGUGGCGGACGGGUGAGUAACGCGUAGGCAACCUGCCCAUCAGACCGGGAUAACCACGGGAAACCGUGGCUAAUACCGGAUAACCCUUUCCCACACAGGUGGGAAAGUUGAAAGGCGGUCUUUUGGCUGUCACUGAUGGAUGGGCCUGCGGCGCAUUAGCUUGUUGGUGGGGUAACGGCCCACCAAGGGGACGAUGCGUAGCCGACCUGAGGGGGUGAUCGGCCACACUGGGACUGAGACACGGCCCAGACUCCUACGGGAGGCAGCAGUAGGGAAUCUUCCGCAAUGGACGAAAGUCUGACGGAGCAACGCCGCGUGAGUGAAGAAGGGUUUCGGCUCGUAAAACUCUGUUGUCAGGGAAGAACGCCGACGGGAGUAACUGCCCGUCGGGUGACGGUACCUGACCAGAAAGCCACGGCUAACUACGUGCCAGCCGCCGCAGUAA